UACGUAGGGUGCAAGCGUUGCCCGGAUUUAUUGGGCGUAAAGGGCGCGUAGGCGGCUCGGCACGUCCGUUGUGAAAUCGCCCGGCUCAACUGGGCGGGGUCAGCGGAUACGGUCGAGCUUGAGCAAGCUAGGGGGCAAUGGAAUUCCCGGUGUAGUGGUGAAAUGCGUAGAUAUCGGGAGGAACACCAGUGGCGAAGGCGACUACCUGGCCUGUUCUUGACGCUGAGGCGCGAAAGCUAGGGGAGCAAACGGG
This 253-nucleotide ribosomal RNA is filed under the name uncultured bacterium. RNAcentral's name for it is "partial 16S ribosomal RNA". It matches the Rfam family "Bacterial small subunit ribosomal RNA", at positions 524 to 776 of the family's 1533-position model. The record is from RNAcentral.